This is a long non-coding RNA of Formica exsecta, 1030 nucleotides long. RefSeq lists it as uncharacterized. The transcript has 3 exons. NCBI's taxonomy places the organism in Eukaryota, Metazoa, Arthropoda, Insecta, Hymenoptera, Formicidae. The record is from RefSeq and is a predicted model, not a curated record.
AUCUUCACUGUGCUGGCAACGGCGAAUGCAUCUUCGGAACUAGACAAGGUCAAGAUUGCAUUCGACGUAUGCGGUUCGAAAAUGACAAUGUGUCUGACGCAGUCGGAACUCAGGAAAGCCUUGAGGUUAUCGUUACAUAUGCAAGCAGAGGAGUCCAACAGGAUUUUUCAGCAGGCCAGAAAGCCAAACGUUCACACAGUGAGCUUCGAGGACGUUCUGAUACAACUAUCAAACCGAACAGAGUAUGCGCACUUGCUCAACGCGAGUAACGAAGGUUCGAAGAAGGCCAUUUGAAAAUAUCUUUUAGAGCCCGAUGUUCCUCCUGAAGAUCGCGGCAGACCUUUUCACAAUCCCAUCUGCUCCAUUCCCGUAUGAGAAACGUAUUUAAAAUACUUCGAGGGGAAACUAUGUUGUCGUUUACAGAAGUUGCAAUCGCAGAUACGCGAUAAUUUAGACAAUUUUAGUGUCUUUCCUAUAAUCCUGUAAAUUAGAGAAAGUGAAUAAUUUAGCAAUAGGAACUUAAAAUUCUAAGAUUUAAGAAUUCUAAAUAAUGUAAAAGAUUUGAUAAUUUAGGAAUAUUUAUUUUAAAAAGUCCUAGAAUCCGAGGAUAUGAAAAUCCAAAGAUACACGACGUGAUCAUAGACUUCGAAGAUUGUAACGAUUCUAUUCUACGAUUUAGAGACCGAAGAUACUAAAACUUAAGAAUUAAAAGCCUAAGGAUCUGAGAAAACGACCAUCUUAUUAUAGUAUCGAUAUAUUUGAAAAUUAGGAUUUGAAUUCUCAAAAAUCUUAGAAUAAAAUAUUCGAGGAUCUUAUAGACUUUAUUUCCAGAAAUGAAAAUCUAAGAGUAUUAAAAUUCGAAGGGAGUAAAAUUUCAGCAGUCUUCUUGCUGUAUAGUACACAUUAGUUAAAUGAUCCGGUCACGAAAGCUUCUUCGUAGCUCGAAAAGUUAAAAGAUUUCGAGUACGUCCAUGAUAUAGGACGCGAAUGUGCAUUUAAGGCAAGGAAAGAGGAAGAGUAGAUAAUGGCA